GAAUUAUUUCGCAUUGAUGUGGUGUAUCAACUAAACACAGAAGAAAAGAAAAGAAAAAGAUGCUGCUAUUUAUCAAGAUGAAUAAAAUAGUCCUCAACAGAGAGACUGAAGAAGAAGCCAUUAGAAAAUGUGUUCUGUUAAAAUAAAGGAGUAAAUUCAGAAAGUAAAUUCAAAAAUGAAUAAUCAGGUAAUAAUGUAUUCAACACAAAGGAAGUAUGGAGAGGAUUCCCAGGAUGACAGAUGUGUGGCAGGCAAGAGAGGAAUAGUAUAGACUAAAACAGUAGGGUUGAGGAUUUAAAGAAGGAGAUCUCCAUGAAAAAGAACACAGCUAUUAUAUACUGACCAUGGAAAACCAGAUCUCCACCCCACUUGGGUCAGUCACUAACCGUGGGAUCACAUGCGUUCUACCAAAGCUCCAAAGUCCAGAAAAAGAGUGACAAUGUUGGACUUUACCCAAGCCCUAUACUUCCGGAAAACAUCGGAGAUUAGGAAGGAAAUCCUCCUAAUAAUAUUAUGCUAGGGGCGCCAGGGUGGCUCCAUUGGAGAAGUGUAAGACUUGAUUUUGACGCAAGUCAUUGGCACGUGAAACAAGCUUCUUCACUCUCAAAGAUCCUUCUUGAGAACUGACUGAACACAAAGACAGAUAUUUCCUGCUGAGCUGUCCCAUCACCCCACCUGCCCAUCUCACUCCCCUACACCUGGCCUUACCUGUCUUUGUCUGCUCUUCCCUAUCAAAGAAGAUCCUUUUCCUGCCUAAUCAUUGAAGCAUUUAUAGGUCUGAUGGUUGGGGCAUUUUCCCUAUUUGCAAUUGUUACUCUUCUCUUCUCUAUUCCAGCAGUCUUUUCAAAUAAAGCCUCUCCUUUAGGUCUAAAUUUGUUUUUUGUUUGAUAAAGUUGCCUCUCCCCCUGGAGCCUCUUGGUAAAACAUAGGCUUCCUCUGAUCCUCUUCUCUUUCAUUUUUAAUGUGCCAUGUAAAUUCAACUCUGUUAAUUUCAGGGCAUAUCUACUGUGAUUAUGCCAAGUGCUAAAUUUGCUUGAUAAAAUUGUGGAUGAAAAUGUUAGCAGUCUGUCUUUUCAAUUUUUUUUUGAAAAUUUAUUAAGUAUCAGGGACUUACCCUCUUUAAUCUCUAUGACAACACAGUAGAGUAGA
Molecule: long non-coding RNA, 1149 nt
Organism: Canis lupus familiaris (dog)
Lineage: Eukaryota; Metazoa; Chordata; Mammalia; Carnivora; Canidae
Exons: 3
Source: RefSeq, a predicted model, not a curated record